RNAcentral lists this ribosomal RNA (444 nucleotides) under uncultured bacterium. Its description in RNAcentral is "partial 16S ribosomal RNA". It matches the Rfam family "Bacterial small subunit ribosomal RNA", at positions 339 to 795 of the family's 1533-position model. The record is from RNAcentral.
CUACGGGUUGCAGCAGUGGGGAAUAUUGCACAAUGGGCGAAAGCCUGAUGCAGCAACGCCGCGUGAGGGACGACGGCCUUCGGGUUGUAAACCUCUUUUAGCAGGGAAGAAGCGAAAGUGACGGUACCUGCAGAAAAAGCACCGGCUAACUACGUGCCAGCAGCCGCGGUAAUACGUAGGGUGCAAGCGUUGUCCGGAAUUAUUGGGCGUAAAGAGCUCGUAGGCGGUUUGUCGCGUCUGCUGUGAAAAUCCGAGGCUCAACCUCGGACCUGCAGUGGGUACGGGCAAACUAGAGUGCGGUAGGGGAGAUUGGAAUUCCUGGUGUAGCGGUGGAGUGCGCAGAUAUCAGGAGGAACACCAAUGGCGAAGGCAGAUCUCUGGGCCGUAACUGACGCUGAGGAGCGAAAGCGUGGGGAGCGAACAGGAUUAGAUACCCUGGUAGUC